Molecule: ribosomal RNA, 504 nt
Filed under: uncultured bacterium
Lineage: Bacteria
Description: partial 16S ribosomal RNA
Rfam family: Bacterial small subunit ribosomal RNA
Source: RNAcentral
GAUGAACGCUAGCGGCAGGCUUAACACAUGCACGUCGAGGGGCAGCAUAAAUAGUAGCAAUACUAUUGGUGGCGACCGGCGGACGGGGGCGUAACGCGUAUACAACCUUCCCUAAACAGGGGGAUAAUCUGGAGAAAUUCGGUCUAAUACCCCAUAACAUCAGAGCAGGCAUCUGUUUUGGUUAAAAUUUCCGGAGGUUUAGGAUGGGUAUGCGUAGCAUUAUCUCGUUGGUGAGGUAACGGCUCACCAAGGCGACGAUGCUUAGGGGGACUGAGAGGUUCACCCCCCAAACUGGUACUGAGACACGGACCAGAAUCCUACGGGAGGCAGCAGUGAGGAAUAUUGGUCAAUGGGCGGAAGCCUGAACCAGCCAUGCCGCGUGCAGGAUGACGGCUCUAUGAGUUGUAAACUGCUUUUGUACGAGGGUAAAGUGGGCUACGUGUAGCCUUUUGAAAGUAUCGUACGAAUAAGGAUCGGCUAACUCCGUGCCAGCCGCCGCGGUAA